This 99-nucleotide small nuclear RNA is filed under the name Pseudonaja textilis. The record is from RNAcentral. Lineage: Eukaryota; Metazoa; Chordata; Lepidosauria; Squamata; Elapidae.
GUAGGUCUUCGGCAGCACACAUACUAAAAUUGGAACGAUACAGAGAAGAUUAGCGUGGCCCCUGCGCAAGUAGCUCUUCUUUAUACACAACUGGUUUUG